Molecule: ribosomal RNA, 1089 nt
Filed under: Triticum aestivum (bread wheat)
Lineage: Eukaryota; Viridiplantae; Streptophyta; Magnoliopsida; Poales; Poaceae
Description: partial small subunit ribosomal RNA
Source: RNAcentral
AUGGAGGGAGGGAUGGGGGGCGGAGGCGGGGGCGGGCAGCAGGAGCUGUCGGCGGACAACGUGCGCGGGAUAGUGCUCGCGCUCCUCUCCAGCGGCUUCAUCGGCUCCAGCUUCAUCAUCAAGAAGAAGGGCCUCCGCCGCGCCGCCGUCUCCUCCGGCAUCAGCGCCGGGGUGGGUGGGCACUCCUACCUCCUGGAGCCCCUAUGGUGGGUGGGCAUGAUCACCAUGAUCGUGGGAGAGAUCGCCAAUUUCGUGGCGUACGCCUUCGCACCGGCGGUGCUGGUUACUCCUCUGGGAGCACUGAGCAUAAUCGUCAGUGCAGUGCUGGCCCAUUUCAUCCUGAACGAGAGGCUGCACGCGCUGGGGGUCCUCGGCUGCGUGAUGUGCAUCGCGGGGUCCAUGGUGAUCGUCAUCCACGCGCCGCUGGAGCAGGAGAUCACGUCUGUCAAGGAGAUUUGGCACAUGGCAACACAACCAUCUUUCUUGCUAUAUGUUGCUUCGGUUAUAGUCCUGGUCUCUGUGCUGGUGUUCCAUUUCUCCCCUCUCUGGGGGCAGUCGAACGUCUUGAUCUACACGGCCAUUUGCUCUUUGAUGGGUUCUCUUUCGGUUAUGAGUGUUAAAGCUCUUGGUACAUCCUUGAAGUUGACUUUUGAGGGGACGAAUCAGUUAGCAUAUCCCGAGACGUGGUUCUUUAUGCUUGUCGUGGCUAUUUGUGUUCUGACACAGAUGAAUUACCUCAACAAGGCACUUGAUACAUUUAACACGGCAGUUGUAUCACCAAUUUAUUAUGUGAUGUUUACAUCAUUGACAAUACUCGCAAGCAUCAUAAUGUUUAAGGAUUGGUCUGGUCAGAGCCUUGGAAGCAUUACUUCUGAAAUAUGUGGCCUGAUUGUCGUGUUGUCUGGUACCAUCUUGUUGCAUGUCACCAAGGAUUACGAAAGGAUCCCGCAAUCGAGAAUAGGCCUUUACGCACCGUUGUCUCCCACGUCAGCAACAAGAUUGAACGGAGAACUACUGAGGCAUGUCGAAGAGGAUGUGAGGAGAACCGACGACGAAGAGAAAGUCUUGAGACGGCAGGAGAUGUACUAG